GGACGGCUGUUGACAUUAUGUAAGAGUAUAGCACUAUAAAAUCAAUGUGAAUAGCAUGGCACAGAUAAUUUAUUCUUGUUUUUCAAACUUAGCUAUCUUGAUAUCACACAGUAGAAUACUUCCUAAUCAAAACAAAAAUUGUGUGGAGUUGUUCAGUGGCCUCCCUGAGGUAAAAGGCAGACUGCGUUUGGUUUGAGUGAGAUGACCAGACAAUCAUGCGAGCGUGGCGUUUUGAUUUGCAUGGACAUUUUGGAUGGUGGGAGAGUACGACAGGUCACACGUCCACCUCUUCUCCCAUCAUGUGUCCUGAUCUCAUAACAUUUAAACCUGUGAAACACUGCACAAGAUGCUAGGGUUAACAUGGAGUGCCAGCACUGAUAUACCUGCUUGUUUGCCACGGCUCGUGUGCCUGGAAUGUGUCGCUAAAAUGCAAGGAGGACACAACGGCAUUCCUUAUGGAAUUACAGAAAGAGACUCCAAGCAAAUAUGCAGUCUUGAGACAGGGUGGAGUACUUUGUGGGUAUUUGUGUUCCAGACUCUUGUACAGAAUCAGAAAUCCAGACGCUAGUUUUUUUAUGGUGAGUGAAACCAUUGUGUUUAACAUUUAUCUGAUCCACACAAAGAACCAACAGUUUUUGAAAACUUGCGCUGCCCUUAAAAUAUGUUUGUUAUUGCUUUAGACAAAUUAUUGAACCUUGUGUAUUUUAUUUGAAAGCAAAACAUUUAAAUCUACAGUGCUUCUUCAAAAUAUUUGUGUGGGAUGUACAUCAUGUUCACCUUUCUAUGUUUUUGUGUUCAUGUCUGCAGAGGCCUUUGAGCAGAAACAAAUCUCUUUGCUUUCUUCUGUGCCUUCAAUCCUAAUGUCAAAUUCCACUUUUGCAUAUUCAUAAAUCACUGCCUCAGUGAUUCCACUCAUGCAGAACUGUCUCUGAUAGUCUGCCUCUCUACCUGUUUCUGGUUCACCUGCUGUUGACAGUCUGUUGGUUACAUAUUAACUGUGCUAAAUGAAAAGCCGUAUCUCUUCCUGCCGAAACGAUGAGUCCUGCUCCUUUACCUUAAAACUGGAAGAUGAAGAGAAGAUUUAAAAAGAAGAGUGAAAUAUAUUUAUAUAUUUAAGAGAAACAAGAAGAUUUUAAGUACAGUGUAUUUAUUAAUUCAUUUUCCCCGGUUUUCUCAUUUCAUUCUGUUUGAAAGCUGUAGAUUGCUGUUCAUGAAGAGUGAACAGACCUGUGGUGUUCUUAUUUGAAUGCGUUAAAUAAAUGAUUUGAUGUACAGAA
This is a long non-coding RNA of Carassius carassius (crucian carp), 1277 nucleotides long. RefSeq lists it as uncharacterized. Lineage: Eukaryota; Metazoa; Chordata; Actinopteri; Cypriniformes; Cyprinidae. The record is from RefSeq and is a predicted model, not a curated record. The transcript is spliced from 3 exons.